Molecule: small nucleolar RNA, 208 nt
Organism: Cyprinus carpio carpio
Lineage: Eukaryota; Metazoa; Chordata; Actinopteri; Cypriniformes; Cyprinidae
Gene: U3
Rfam family: Small nucleolar RNA U3
About the family: Small nucleolar RNAs (snoRNAs) are involved in the processing and modification of rRNA in the nucleolus. There are two main classes of snoRNAs: the box C/D class, and the box H/ACA class.
Source: Ensembl
AAGUCUACGCUUUCAGGAGCCAUUUCUAUAAUAUAUAAUUAAGACAUGUAUAUCAAAGUAUUGUUUUCUAACCACAAUGAAGAGUUUCGAUGCUGUUUUCUGAGCGUGCCUCAGGUGGGAAAUAAUGAAUUUAUCCAUAAACUCUUUGUCAUUGAUGUACGAUCCUCAUUGUUUACAAUAAAGAAGAAAAGAGUGUGACCCGAAUGGC